GCAGGCAGAGGCAGGGGAUCUCUGAGUUGGAGGCUAAUCAGUCCCACACACCAAAUAAACCAAGCCAGGCCACAUAGUGAGACACUUGUCUCCAAAACAACAAAACAAACAAAAUAAGCCUGCCCUGGAGAUUUGGGGUUUAUUGCAGUCCUUCAUUGCAGUUCUUCACAGGAGUGCCCUGGAUCUAAAAGCCUAGGCGGGGAGUUAAAUCUAGUCGCUGGGUGUGGAAUGUUCUGGGGCAGACAUCCCCGGCUUGCUGGAAGAGUGCUACAGGGACUUAGGGUGCUACAGAAAUCUACAGAAGGGACCCCUGGCUCGCUGGGGCUCCUCUACUGGGGUAAACUCUGGAAGCUAGUCAAAUGCGAUGGCGACUUCCGGGAGGGGCGUGGUCGUCUCGAGGCGUGGCAUAGCUGGGGCGGGGCGACACCACUGGGUCGGCAGAGGCAGGAAAUCGGGCUGGUCCCGGGCGGCGCGCAGCCCUGUCCCUUUCUCAGCAUUGCCGCGCGUUCCCCACCCCACCCCCUGCCCCCGGGCAUCGCCAUGGACUCAGCGGAGACAGAGCUAACCCCAGCUCCUGAGGGCAGGAAGAGAUACAGUGACAUCUUCCAGAGCCUGGACAACCUCGAGAUAUCAUUGGGGAACGUAACUUUUGAUCCCCUGGCUGGAGACCCUGUACGCAGAGAAGACCUGGAGCCUGACAAAGCUGACACAGCCACAGUGGUGACUGAGGAGAACAGUGAAGCCAGUAGUUGGCGGGAUCUCUCCCCAGAAGGUCCUGCACCCCUCACAGAGGAAGAACUGGAUUUGCGACUCAUUCGGACCAAGGGUGGUGUAGAUGCUGCCCUGGAGUAUGCUAAAGCAUGGAGCCGCUAUGCCAAGGAACUGCUGGCCUGGACAGACAAGAGAGCCAACUACGAGCUCGAGUUUGCUAAGAGUAUCAUGAAGCUCGCUGAGGCUGGCAAGGUGUCCAUUCUCCAGCAGAGCCAAAUGCCACUCCAGUACAUCUACACCUUGUUUCUGGAGCAUGACCUCAGCCUGGGAGCCCUGGCCCUGGAGACAGUGGCCCAACAGAAGAGAGACUACUACCAGCCUCUGGCGGCCAAAAGGAUGGAAAUUGAGAAGUGGAGGAAGGAAUUCAAGGAACAGUGGCUGAAGGAGCAGAAGCGCAUGAAUGAGGCAGUGCAGGCACUGCGGCGCUCCGAGCUCCAGUACAUUCAACGCAGAGAGGACCUGAGGGCACGCUCCCAGGGGUCCCCUGAGGACCCUCCUUCCCAGGCAUCUCCUGGAUCCAACAAGCAACAGGAGCGCAGACGGCGCUCCCGAGAGGAGGCACAGGCCAAGGCGCAUGAGGCGGAGGCUCUGUACCAGGCCUGUGUCCGGGAGGCCAAUUCUCGCCAGCAGGAUCUGGAGACCACCAAGCGGCGGAUAGUGUCACAUGUGCGCAAGCUGGUGCUGCAAGGAGACGAAGUGCUUAGGCGGGUGACGCUGGGUCUGUUUGAGCUGCGAGGGGCGCAGGCAGAGCGAGGACCCCGCUCCUUCUCUGCUCUGGCUGAGUGCUGUGUGCCCUUUGAACCUGGCCAGCGCUACCAGGAGUUUGUUCGGACACUGCAGCCUGGGGCCCCACCGCCGCCAUCUCCGGCCUUCUGCUUCCAGGAGUUCACAGCUGUGGUGCACAGUUUCCCUCAGGACACAAAAAAGAAGUUUUCGGGGCCUCUACCUCCAAGGCUGGAGGAGGAGGGUUCCCCUGAGCCUGGCCCUUGGGAGGUUGCCAGCUUAGGCAGCCAGGGAAUCCCAGGCAGUGAUGUGGACAGUGUAGGUGGUGGCAGUGAGUCCCGGUCUUUGGAUUCUCCCACUUCCAGCCCAGGUGCUGGGGCCCGCCGACUUGUAAAGGCUUCGUCCACAGGCACGGAGUCCUCCGAUGACUUUGAGGAGCGAGACCCUGAUCUGGGGGAUGGGAUAGAGAAUGGAGUAGGCAGCCCGUUCAGGAAGUGGACACUGUCCACAGCUGCUCAAACCCACCGACUGCGGCGGCUGCGGGGCCCAGCCAAGUGCAGAGAAUGUGAAGCCUUCAUGGUCAGCGGGACAGAAUGUGAAGAGUGCUUUUUGACCUGUCACAAGCGCUGCCUGGAGACCCUCCUCAUCCUUUGUGGACACCGGCGGCUUCCGGCCCGGAUGUCCCUCUUUGGGGUUGACUUCCUACAGCUCCCCAGAGAUUUCCCUGAGGAGGUUCCCUUUGUGAUUACCAGAUGCACAGCUGAGAUAGAGCACCGUGCCCUGGGCUUGCAGGGUAUCUAUCGGGUCAGCGGGUCUCGGGUACGUGUGGAGCGGCUGUGCCAGGCCUUUGAGAAUGGCCGAGCACUGGUCGAGCUGUCCGGGAACUCUCCUCACGAUAUCACCAGCGUUCUCAAGCGAUUUCUUCAGGAGGGUGGCUGCUCGGUUUGAAGAAAACAAGAUGUCUGCCAACAAUCUGGGAAUUGUAUUUGGGCCUACACUGCUGCGGCCACCAGAUGGACCCAGGGCCACCGGUGCCAGCCCUGUGGCCUGUCUGCUGGACUCCGGUCACCAGGCUCAGCUGGUUGAGUUCCUCAUUGUGCACUAUGAGCAGAUCUUUGGAAUGGAUGAGCUCCCUCUGGCCUCGGAGCCUCUGACCCAAGACCCUGGCUUGGCUCCUGCAUGCCUUGAAUCCAGUCCCCAGCACCCAGCCUCACUUCUUGCCCAAGACACACAGCCCCUGACCAUAGCCUUGGAUUCCAGCCCAGACCCCAAACACCACAGUGCCUUGGAGAAGUGCCCCGAGGUCACACCUCCUGAGCUUGCAACUCUGCAGAGGGACCAGAGGGAGGAGGAGGUGGAAGACACCAGAGAUGGGGCAGGGGAUGGGUCCAGCCACUGCCCUGAGGACUUGGCCCUGGGAGCACAAUCCCGGGGCCACUUCAGCCGCCAGCCAGUGAAGUAUUCCCGGGGAGGUGUGAGGCCAGUUACUCAUCAACUCUCCAGCCUGGCUCUGGUGGCCUCCAAGCUGUGUGAGGAGACUCCUGUCACUGUCUCAGCAGUGCACCGAGGUAGUUUGAGGGUACGAGGUUUGGGCCCUGCUGCUGCCUGCCCUGAAGGCAGCCCCCUGCGCCGGAACCCUCUGCCCAAGCACUUUGAGAUCACCCAGGAGACAGCCCGACUUCUCUCCAAGCUGAACAGUGAUGCUGUGUCCAGGACCACCUGUUGUGCUGACCCAGAGCCUGAGGAGUCUGAAGAGCACCUCUGACCACCUACCAUCCUGAGGGACCCAGAACUGAAUUGAUGGUCCCUGACCCAACCUGGUGACCAAACCAAUUCAGUGGGGUGUGGGGAGAGACGGGGUUACCAGUGAGUUCCGGUAAUGAAGAUUACCUACCUGUGGGAGUCCCAAGACACUUGGUUGAAGUGUCCCAUCAUCUCCCUGCCAGAGGAGAUUUAAACAGCUAGGCAACACAGGUGCAGGUGUUUCGGGGUCAAGACUCAAUGGUCAAUACAGAUCAGUAGAUCCUUGGGGACUACCCGAGUCUCUGACCUCUGAGACGGGUGUCUUGACUAUUUCAGUCAUAAUGGCUCCUGGCCCUACUACACUUGCAGCAGUAACAGACUCCCAAGUUAGCAGGUGGCUGCAGCCCAGCCCUGUCUCCUUUUAAUUUGUUUGUUUGUUUGUUUGUUUUAAGCUAAGUCUCACUGUGUAGCUCUGGCUGGUCUGGAGCUCCCUUUGUGAGCCACAAAUCCUCUGCCUCCCAAGUGCUGGCUAAAUCUGUGUUCUUACAACCUCCAAAUAAAACCAUAUCCUGCUGCCGGCAGGAGGGCUGACCGCAGUGGUGCUUGCUGUAAAGCCUCACAUUUGUUGGACCUCCCAGAGCCACUUAGUGGAAGGAGAGAGCCCAUCCCUACAAAUUGUCUGACCUGUGCACAUGCACAAAUAAAA
Molecule: RNA transcript, 3943 nt
Organism: Mus musculus (house mouse)
Lineage: Eukaryota; Metazoa; Chordata; Mammalia; Rodentia; Muridae
Gene: Gmip
Gene name: Gem-interacting protein
Exons: 20
Source: RefSeq, marked provisional